UUCCAGGUUGUACAUACCCAAGUGCUA
This 27-nucleotide non-coding RNA is filed under the name Homo sapiens (human). Lineage: Eukaryota; Metazoa; Chordata; Mammalia; Primates; Hominidae. The record is from RNAcentral.